This 421-nucleotide ribosomal RNA is filed under the name uncultured eukaryote. RNAcentral describes it as "bacterial SSU rRNA". It matches the Rfam family "Eukaryotic small subunit ribosomal RNA", at positions 592 to 1018 of the family's 1831-position model. The record is from RNAcentral.
CAAUAGCGUAUAUUAAAGUUGUUGCAGUUAAAAAGCUCGUAGUUGGACUUCUGACGUGGGACUGCGCCCCGUUCCUUUUGGGACGUUGGGUGCGGACUUGUGUCUUCCUCUCGUAGUUGGUUGGUGCACUUAACUGGGUGCCUUCUGAAUAUGGGACCUUUACUUUGAAAAAUUAGAGUGUUCAAAGCAGGCAUUGGCUUGAAUACAUUAGCAUGGAAUAAUAGUCGAGGCUCUUGGUCUGACUUGUUGGUUUGCAGCCCGAGAGAAUGAUUCAAUAGGGAUAGUUGGGGGUAUUCGUAUUCAAUUGUCAGAGGUGAAAUUCUUGGAUUUAUGGAAGACGAACUACUGCGAAAGCAUUUACCAAGGAUGUUUUCAUUAAUCAAGAACGAAAGUUAGGGGAUCGAAGACGAUCAGAUACCAU